Photinus pyralis (common eastern firefly) is the source of this 1235-nucleotide long non-coding RNA. RefSeq lists it as uncharacterized. NCBI's taxonomy places the organism in Eukaryota, Metazoa, Arthropoda, Insecta, Coleoptera, Lampyridae. The record is from RefSeq and is a predicted model, not a curated record. The transcript has 3 exons.
ACCCUAAUAAAUAUCUAUAUAAUUACAAAUUAAGAACUUUAGGUGUUGCAACAAAUAAUAGGAAUGGUUGCAGCCUAAGACGCUGCAUCCAACAAAACACAAAUGGAUCGUGAACGCGACACGGAAUCACUAAAAAUCCAAGCAUGCACAUUGUAAAAACUCAUUAAAUAUUGAUUAAAAUUUCCAGCAAGCAUCCAGAAUGUAAGGACUCAAUACCUCAUGGAGCCUCAAAGCUUAAAAUUUUCAAAAAGAGGACCCAAAAUCUGAAAUGCAUAUUUGAAGAUACCCAAAGGCAAACGGGCCACUAGAUGUUGAUCACAAGAGUACGAAGAAAUAACAAAGGCCUCAAAACCCCAAGAUUCAAACGCUCAAAUAAUCUACAACUUAACGAUACAGUGAAUAGUAGACUCAGUGAACUGUAGAGACCGGAGCUCUAUGACUAGAAACUCAAAGGUCUUCAGCAGUCACUCCAACAAACAUCAAAGCCUGAGAUUAAACUCUCAUGUUCCCAGAUACUCAAAGACCUCCCGCAAUGAAACUUUUAGAAGUCAUAAUACCUUCUCUUUUCUCUGCAAAAUUCUUCCCACGUGGAUUUGAAUACGACACGCUGCCGCUUAAUCUGAUCAGGCGAGAAAUUAACCAUUUCUUACGUCACAAAGGAGUAAAUAUUGAACAUUGCUUCUGUAAAAUAGUCGUUUCAAGAAAAUAUGAUCAUAAAGUAAUCGUUUUUUAUGACAUAGCAGCACUUAUCUUAGUGCAAAAUGUAGUGAUAACGGCACGAUAUAUCUCCUCAGUAACGUCUUCACCUAGCACAUUGUUCAGCUGAAAGAAUGAAGGUCUACUUGGUACUCUUCGCAGCUGUUGUUGCCCUUUGCAUUGUGGCUGGCCAAGAUGAGGAUGAAUUUGUGUGCGAAGAUGGGGUUCCAUAUAUCGAAAAUGAUUGCAAUGAAUGUAUUUGUGGUAACGGUACCAUAGGGUGCACUAAAAUGCAUUGUUCAUGGUCUGACGACUAUAGGAAUUGUACGGUGGGAACGGAAACGACCUCCGAUUGCAAUACCUGUCACUGCGUCGUCGACUGGGGGCUAAUUUGUACAAAUCACGAUUGCAACGCAACGACGACUCCCUAGACGACUCCAAUCCACUAUGGAACGGAACCGUAAGAAACUCGAAUUUUAAUGUGUAAAUUUAUGUAACCUAUGGUGACGGCAAUAAAAAUGGUUGUAAUUUUUUGGCAA